Molecule: non-coding RNA, 938 nt
Organism: Phalacrocorax carbo (great cormorant)
Lineage: Eukaryota; Metazoa; Chordata; Aves; Suliformes; Phalacrocoracidae
Source: RefSeq, a predicted model, not a curated record
CCCGCCCCCGGCCCCGGCACGGGCGGGCUCCAGCCCGGUGCGGGGGGCCGUCGCCCCGCGGGCGGACCGGGUCCCUGCGGCGGGCAGGCGCCCCAGGCCGGGAGCCCCCGCUCCGGCAGGGCGCGGGGUGCCUCCCACGCUGCGGGGCAGCCCGCCGCCGCUCGGUGGGGCAGCCCAGUCCCGGGGGCGGACGGCUGCUCUCCCCUUGGCCGUUGGGAGGAGGCGGAGGGAAACAGAAAGCAGCCACAGGUCUGUUCUGUGAGGAGACGCACCCCCAGAUGCGCGCCGUGGCAUCACCGCGCAAGUUGGCCCCAGGCCGGUGAGGAGGUGGCGGGACACCAGCUGGCGCAGGUGGCUGCAGCUCGAGCAGGGGCCGAAGCAAAGCCCAGAGUGCGCUGGGGCAGAGAAGAGGGAUGCUGCAGUUGAACGCCAGUGCUCCAGUUCACUGUGACCUGCUGUAUCUCGUCCGCCUUUAUUUGAUCCAGCCCAGCAGAAGAGCGGCUGUGCCGCCCAGAACAGCUGCCCUCCUGUCUCUAGUCACACAGUCGCAGGCAACUCCUGACCUGGGGCACUUGAGAAGAAUUUACUGUACUUAAACCCCUGCACGUUACUUCUAAAUUUUAGAAGGUUGUGCAGUGGAAGAUGUGUUUAGCAAGCUCAGCGCAAUUCAGGUAUUCAAGUCUGAUAGUGUCUGUAAAAAUAAAGUGCAUCUUCACUGGACUAAGAGAUUUGAUAAUGACAAAGUAACUCUAAAACUGAUAAAUCUGUCACUAACUGACCAACACUAUUUUUCUCAGAGUGAGAGGAGUUUGACACCAACACAUUUUAAGUAGAAGGCAAAACAGAAAGUGGCAGGUGCGUUUCGGGUGAAUAUUCCAGAUGGAUACAUAAAGCCUUCACCAAUGUUUCUAAUAAAAUCAUAGGUUAUUAAAACAAAA